CCGUAGCCCAAGAGAUCGGGAUAACACCUGGAAACAGAUGCUAAUACCGGAUAACAACAGAUGAUGCCUAUCAACUGUUUAAAAGAUGGUUCUGCUAUCACUCUUGGAUGGACCUGCGGUGCAUUAGCUAGUUGGUAGGGUAACGGCCUACCAAGGCGAUGAUGCAUAGCCGAGUCGAGAGACUGAUCGGCCACAUUGGGACUGAGACACGGCCCAAACUCCUACGGGAGGCAGCAGGC
RNAcentral lists this ribosomal RNA (239 nucleotides) under uncultured Lactobacillus sp. RNAcentral's name for it is "partial 16S ribosomal RNA". It matches the Rfam family "Bacterial small subunit ribosomal RNA", at positions 125 to 354 of the family's 1533-position model. The record is from RNAcentral. Lineage: Bacteria; Bacillati; Bacillota; Bacilli; Lactobacillales; Lactobacillaceae.